Long non-coding RNA from Girardinichthys multiradiatus, 553 nucleotides. RefSeq lists it as uncharacterized. The record is from RefSeq and is a predicted model, not a curated record. The transcript is spliced from 3 exons. Lineage: Eukaryota; Metazoa; Chordata; Actinopteri; Cyprinodontiformes; Goodeidae.
GACUAACUGAAACAAAACAGGAACUAGACUGAUGUGGAUACUGAAGCAAAGCAGGAGCAUGACAGGCGAUAGCAGAUAUCUGGCAGGUAGCUUGCAGGACGAGGCGACGGGGAACAAAUGAAACCGCAUUGACGAGGAGGAGGCUGCAGACUACAAGUCACUCUUCAGACCCAGCCAGGAAAGCAUUAGAGGCAGAUUGAUUAGUCUGCUCCACUUGGCUGAUUAAUCAGGACCCGUUAGGUGGAGACGAGGACCAUUUAUGGCUGAUUAUCGUCCCCUGAAAGCAUAAGGAGCAAUUUACAGCGGAACCUUUCCACCAGACACAGAUGGAUGUGAUGGCUGGUUAGGAGGCCUGGACUUGGGAGUCAACUGUGGCUUCAUAUGCACCAGCAGCACCUCCACAACCUGCAGGUCAUCCACAUCAUAUUCUUCCUACUGAGUCUGUGUUGUCCUAGAGGGGAUGUAACAUGAAAACAUAAUCUCACACCACUACUUCAUUCCUUCAGCAGCAUUAGAUUAGAUUGAAACUUCCCUGCACACUUUCCCGGGGCUG